RNAcentral lists this ribosomal RNA (500 nucleotides) under uncultured bacterium. RNAcentral describes it as "partial 16S ribosomal RNA". It matches the Rfam family "Bacterial small subunit ribosomal RNA", at positions 28 to 523 of the family's 1533-position model. The record is from RNAcentral.
AUUGAACGCUGGCGGCAUGCCUUACACAUGCAAGUCGAACGGCAGCGCGGGAGCAAUCCUGGCGGCGAGUGGCGAACGGGUGAGUAGUGCAUCGGAACGUGCCCAGUUGUGGGGGAUAGCCCGGCGAAAGCCGGAUUAAUACCGCAUGAGACCUGAGGGUGAAAGCGGGGGAUCGAAAGACCUCGCGCGACUGGAGCGGCCGAUGUCAGAUUAGGUAGUUGGUGGGGUAAGGGCCUACCAAGCCGGCGAUCUGUAGCUGGUCUGAGAGGGCGACCAGCCACACUGGGACUGGGACGCGGCCCAGACUCCUACGGGAGGCAGCAGUGGGGAAUUUUGGACAAUGGGCGCAAGCCUGAUCCAGCCAUGCCGCGUGCGGGAAGAAGGCCUUCGGGUUGUAAACCGCUUUUGUCGGGGAAGAAACGGCCUGGGCUAAUACCUUGGGCUAAUGACGGUACCCGAAGAAUAAGCACCGGCUAACUACGUGCCAGCCGCCGCCGUAA